GCUGAGGUGGCGGAAAGGCUACGCAGUGGACUGCAGAUCCAUUUAUCCCGGUUCGAUUCCGGGUCUUAGCU
RNAcentral lists this transfer RNA (71 nucleotides) under Methanosarcina barkeri. RNAcentral's name for it is "tRNA-Cys". It matches the Rfam family "tRNA". From Rfam's summary of the family: Transfer RNA (tRNA) molecules are approximately 80 nucleotides in length. Lineage: Archaea; Methanobacteriati; Methanobacteriota; Methanomicrobia; Methanosarcinales; Methanosarcinaceae. The record is from RNAcentral. RNAcentral also lists the same sequence under 1 other name.